GGGAAUAUGGCUCAGUAGUGCAGUGCUUGCCUUGCAUGCAAGAAGCCCUGGGUUUGAUCCCCAGCACCA
Molecule: transfer RNA, 69 nt
Filed under: Cavia porcellus (domestic guinea pig)
Lineage: Eukaryota; Metazoa; Chordata; Mammalia; Rodentia; Caviidae
Rfam family: tRNA
About the family: Transfer RNA (tRNA) molecules are approximately 80 nucleotides in length.
Source: Rfam by way of RNAcentral